Alligator mississippiensis (American alligator) is the source of this 58-nucleotide transfer RNA. It matches the Rfam family "tRNA", at positions 7 to 64 of the family's 71-position model. Rfam says of the family: Transfer RNA (tRNA) molecules are approximately 80 nucleotides in length. Their secondary structure includes four short double-helical elements and three loops (D, anti-codon, and T loops). The record is from Rfam. Lineage: Eukaryota; Metazoa; Chordata; Crocodylia; Alligatoridae.
UUGGUUCAGUAGUAGAAUCCUUGUCUGCCCCACAGGAGACCUGGGUUCAAUUCCCAGA